GCACAGAUGUCCGAGUUGGUUAAGGAGUCAGACUUAAGUUCUGAUGGGCCACGCCCGCCUGGGUUCGAGUCCCAGUCUGUGCA
Molecule: non-coding RNA, 83 nt
Organism: Paraphysoderma sedebokerense
Lineage: Eukaryota; Fungi; Blastocladiomycota; Physodermatomycetes; Physodermatales; Physodermataceae
Source: the annotation of a GenBank genome assembly